UCAAAACUGAACCGAAAAUGCAAGACUUGCUUUAAUUGUUUCCUUCAAUUUCUUUCUGUAUUAUUUACUAUAAUGGAACUCAUGUUAUUUACAUUGUGUUAUAUCAAUACAUAUAAACACUGACAGAAAACAAUUAAAGCAAGUCUUGCAUUUUCGGUUCAGUUUUGA
Non-coding RNA from Paramuricea clavata, 168 nucleotides. The record is from the annotation of a GenBank genome assembly. NCBI's taxonomy places the organism in Eukaryota, Metazoa, Cnidaria, Anthozoa, Malacalcyonacea, Plexauridae.